GAUGAACGCUGGCGGCGUGCUUAACACAUGCAAGUCGAACGUGAGAAUAGCAAUAUUUGAAAGUGGCGCACGGGUGAGUAAUACGUAGGUAACCUGCCCUGGAGUGGGGGAUAACAACUGGAAACGGUUGCUAACACCGCAUAAUACCGGACAUUCGGGAGAGUGACUGGUAAAAACUCUGGUGCUUCAGGAGGGGCCUGCGGCCGAUUAGCUAGUUGGUGGGGUAAAGGCCCACCAAGGCAGUGAUCGGUAGCUGGUCUGAGAGGACGAUCAGCCACACGGGAACUGAGACACGGUCCCGACUCCUACGGGGGGCAGCAGUGAGGAAUAUUGGGCAAUGGGCGCAAGCCUGACCCAGCAACGCCGCGUGGAGGAAGACGGCCUUCGGGUUGUAAACUCCUUUUACGGGGAAGAGGAAGGACGGUACCCCGAGAAUAAGUCACGGCUAACUACGUG
This 456-nucleotide ribosomal RNA is filed under the name uncultured bacterium. Its description in RNAcentral is "bacterial SSU rRNA". It matches the Rfam family "Bacterial small subunit ribosomal RNA", at positions 28 to 507 of the family's 1533-position model. The record is from RNAcentral.